Molecule: ribosomal RNA, 922 nt
Filed under: Pseudomonas aeruginosa
Lineage: Bacteria; Pseudomonadati; Pseudomonadota; Gammaproteobacteria; Pseudomonadales; Pseudomonadaceae
Description: bacterial SSU rRNA
Rfam family: Bacterial small subunit ribosomal RNA
Source: RNAcentral
AGGAAUCUGCCUGGUAGUGGGGGAUAACGUCCGGAAACGGGCGCUAAUACCGCAUACGUCCUGAGGGAGAAAGUGGGGGAUCUUCGGACCUCACGCUAUCAUAUGAGCCUAGGUCGGAUUAGCUAUUUGGUGGGGUAAAGGCCUACCAAGGCGACGAUCCGUAACUGGUCUGAGAGGAUGAUCAGUCACACUGGAACUGAGACACGGUCCAGACUCCUACGGGAGGCGGCAGUGGGGAAUAUUGGACAAUGGGCGAAAGCCUGAUCCAGCCAUGCCGCGUGUGUGAAGAAGGUCUUCGGAUUGUAAAGCACUUUAAGUUGGGAGGAAGGGCAGUAAGUUAAUACCUUGCUGUUUUGACGUUACCAACACAAUAAGCACCGGCUAACUUCGUGCCAGCAGCCGCGGUAAUACGAAGGGUGCAAGCGUUAAUCGGAAUUACUGGGCGUAAAGCGCGCGUAGGUGGUUCAGCAAGUUGGAUGUGAAAUCCCCGGGCUCAACCUGGGAACUGCAUCCAAAACUACUGAGCUAUAGUACGGUAGAGGGUGGUGGAAUUUCCUGUGUAGCGGUGAAAUGCGUAGAUAUAGGAAGGAACACCAGUGGCGAAGGCGACCACCUGGACUGAUACUGACACUGAGGUGCGAAAGCGUGGGGAGCAAACAGGAUUAGAUACCCUGGUAGUCCACGCCGUAAACGAUGUCGACUAGCCGUUGGGAUCCUUGAGAUCUUAGUGGCGCAGCUAACGCGAUAAGUCGACCGCCUGGGGAGUACGGCCGCAAGGUUAAAACUCAAAUGAAUUGACGGGGGCCCGCACAAGCGGUGGAGCAUGUGGUUUAAUUCUAAGCAACGCGAAGAACCUUACCUGGCCUUGACAUGCUGAGAACUUUCCAGAGAUGGAUUGGUGCCUUCGGGAACUCAGACACAG